GUUGUAAUCGUCUCUCUUGUAAUUUGUCCCACUCGUCUUCAUCCUGAAGGGCUUUUGGAGAGCACUCGGCCACACAUUAGCACACUUUACUCGCCAUCAUCAGCCCACCAUCUCACCCGCUUUCACUUUCAUUUUGCUCUUCUAGUGUGGACGUCUGCGUGGCUCAGGAGGGCCAGGCUGGCUAAUGAUGGUGCUAACCAGCAAAAGCAUGCGUCCUCUGACAUCGAUCGAACCUACGUACGUAGAUUCCACGAUGACGAAAUGACUCCUCCCACUGACCCUGCAAACCCUGAAUCAGCUUCUCUCUCCAUUAACUUCUCAUCACCAUUACCGCCAUUCCAUCAGCUCAGUUAUUAGUCAGUGUCCAAAUGAGGCAAUGCUGACAAUUUAUCCAGACUCCUAAACAGCCUGCGUUCCCGACAAGAAAGAAUGCAGCCGCAACAUCCAUCAUCACAAGCAUCAUCUUCAUC
Non-coding RNA from Doryrhamphus excisus (bluestripe pipefish), 470 nucleotides. The record is from RefSeq and is a predicted model, not a curated record. NCBI's taxonomy places the organism in Eukaryota, Metazoa, Chordata, Actinopteri, Syngnathiformes, Syngnathidae.